GUGUCAGCCGCCGCGGUAAUACGUAGGGGGCGAGCGUUGUCCGGAAUUAUUGGGCGUAAAGGGCGCGCAGGCGGUCUUUUAAGUCUGAUGUGAAAUCCCGCGGCUUAACCGCGGGCGGUCAUUGGAAACUGGAGGACUUGAGUGCAGAAGAGGAGAGUGGAAUUCCACGUGUAGCGGUGAAAUGCGUAGAGAUGUGGAGGAACACCAGUGGCGAAGGCGACUCUCUGGUCUGCUACUGACGCUGAGGCGCGAAAGCGUGGGCAGCGAACAGGAUUAGAAACCCCCGUAGUCC
RNAcentral lists this ribosomal RNA (292 nucleotides) under uncultured prokaryote. RNAcentral describes it as "partial 16S ribosomal RNA". It matches the Rfam family "Bacterial small subunit ribosomal RNA", at positions 505 to 796 of the family's 1533-position model. The record is from RNAcentral.